This 415-nucleotide ribosomal RNA is filed under the name uncultured prokaryote. RNAcentral describes it as "bacterial SSU rRNA". It matches the Rfam family "Bacterial small subunit ribosomal RNA", at positions 355 to 774 of the family's 1533-position model. The record is from RNAcentral.
UGAGGAAUUUUGCGCAAUGGGGGGAACCCUGACGCAGCAACGCCGCGUGGGUGAUGAAGGCCUUCGGGUCGUAAAGCCCUGUCGGGCGGGAAGAACGUCCCUUCGGGGAAUGACGGUACCGCCAGAGGAAGCACCGGCUAACUCCGUGCCAGCAGCCGCGGGAAUACGGAGGUUGCAAGCGGUAUUCGGAAUUACUGGGCGUAAAGGGCGUGCAGGCGGGAGAGCAAGUCUGAUGUGAAAGCCCGGGGCGUAACCCCGGAAGGGCAUUGGAAACUGCUUUUCUUGAGUUCUGGAGAGGAAGGGAGAAUUCCCGGUGUAGAGGUGAAAUUCGUAGAGAUCGGGAGGAACAUCAGUGGCGAAGGCGCCCUUCUGGACAGCAACUGACGCUGAGACGCGAAAGCGUGGGGAGCAAACA